Long non-coding RNA from Rhineura floridana, 295 nucleotides. RefSeq lists it as uncharacterized. The record is from RefSeq and is a predicted model, not a curated record. NCBI's taxonomy places the organism in Eukaryota, Metazoa, Chordata, Lepidosauria, Squamata, Rhineuridae. The transcript has 3 exons.
GUCUCAUGGAACUAUUUUUUCCGGAUUCUUGGGAAGUUGAAAUAUUUCAGAAGAAUAUCAGGAACUGUUGUUUUAGCUUGUUUGGGUUGUAUCCAAUAAAAUCAUCUUGUCAAUGCAUGACUUCUGCCAGCACAAUGGAACCUCCCCUCCUGUUCCAGAGGGUUGGAGAACAGUUCACACAGAGGAGGCAGUUGGCAGAGUCCAUGGGCUAUACCACUGCAGACUGCAGGUUCCACUUGUCGACCGAGACCCAGUGUGGCAUAGUGGUUAAAGUGUUGGACUACGACGGUUUGAA